This 230-nucleotide unclassified non-coding RNA is filed under the name plant metagenome. RNAcentral describes it as "partial contains small subunit ribosomal RNA, internal transcribed spacer 1, and 5.8S ribosomal RNA". The record is from RNAcentral.
UCUCCGUUGGUGAACAGCGGAGGGAUCAUUACAGAGUUGCAAAACUCCCAAACCAUUGUGAACGUUACCUAUCCCGUUGCUUCGGCGGGCGGCCCGGGCCCCGCGCCCGGCGCCCCCCGGCCCCCCGUGGGCGCCCGCCGGAGGUAAACCAAACCCUUGAAUUGCAUGGCCUCUCUGAGUCUUCUGUACUGAAUAAGUCAAAACUUUCAACAACGGAUCUCUUGGUUCUG